This 85-nucleotide transfer RNA is filed under the name Tsukamurella tyrosinosolvens. Its description in RNAcentral is "tRNA-Tyr(gta)". It matches the Rfam family "tRNA". Rfam says of the family: Transfer RNA (tRNA) molecules are approximately 80 nucleotides in length. Their secondary structure includes four short double-helical elements and three loops (D, anti-codon, and T loops). RNAcentral also lists the same sequence under 4 other names. Lineage: Bacteria; Bacillati; Actinomycetota; Actinomycetes; Mycobacteriales; Tsukamurellaceae. The record is from RNAcentral.
GGCACGUUGCCCGAGCGGCCAAUGGGAGCGGACUGUAAAUCCGUCGGCUUAGCCUACGUAGGUUCGAAUCCUACACGUGCCACCA